GAUGAACGCUGGCGGCGUGCCUAAUACAUGCAAGUCGAGCGAACGGACGAGAAGCUUGCUUUUCUGAUGUUAGCGGCGGACGGGUGAGUAACACGUGGAUAACCUACCUAUAAGACUGGGAUAACUUCGGGAAACCGGAGCUAAUACCGGAUAAUAUUUUGAACCGCAUGGUUCAUAAGUGAAAGACGGUCUUGCUGUCACUUAUAGAUGGAUCCGCGCUGCAUUAGCUAGUUGGUAAGGUAACGGCUUACCAAGGCAACGAUGCAUAGCCGACCUGAGAGGGUGAUCGGCCACACUGGAACUGAGACACGGUCCAGACUCCUACGGGAGGCAGCAGUAGGGAAUCUUCCGCAAUGGGCGAAAGCCUGACGGAGCAACGCCGCGUGAGUGAUGAAGGUCUUCGGAUCGUAAAACUCUGUUAUUAGGGAAGAACAUAUGUGUAAGUAACUGUGCACAUCUUGACGGUACCUAAUCAGAAAGCCACGGCUAAAUACGUG
This 497-nucleotide ribosomal RNA is filed under the name uncultured bacterium. RNAcentral describes it as "partial 16S ribosomal RNA". It matches the Rfam family "Bacterial small subunit ribosomal RNA", at positions 28 to 507 of the family's 1533-position model. The record is from RNAcentral.